RNA transcript from Zingiber officinale, 2873 nucleotides. RefSeq lists it as uncharacterized. The transcript is spliced from 9 exons. The record is from RefSeq and is a predicted model, not a curated record. NCBI's taxonomy places the organism in Eukaryota, Viridiplantae, Streptophyta, Magnoliopsida, Zingiberales, Zingiberaceae.
UAUAUUCUCUAGGAUUUCAGGGGUUUUGUUCCGACAACAUGGCGUGCCGGACUUCCGUGUCGUUGCUGCGCUCCAUCCCUCUUUCCCCUCACGCGUCUCGGGCCAUUAUAUUCUCUAGGGUUUUAGGGGCUUCUUGCUCCGCCGUAGUCCGGUGAGAUCCGUGUUCCGGUGCUUCUCUACUCAGCCCACAGCAUCAUCUUUAAAUGAUCCGUCGCCGAACUGGAGCAAUCGCCCCCCUAAGGAGACUAUACUCCUCGACGGCUACGACUUUGAGCACUGGCUUGUCGUCAUGGAGCCACCCGAUCCCUCCCUCACUCGUGAUGAGAUUAUUGAUGGCUAUAUCAAGACCCUAGCCGAGGUCCUUGGCAGGUUAGUUUUUCUUUCUCGGUCGACUCGGUGAAGCUGGUCGCACCGCGAAGCUAUCUUUGAUAAUCACUCCAGUGUAUUUAUUUAGUGUCGAGAAGAUUAUGUUUUGGUGAUCUCGGCUUUUGUUUCAGUCGCUUUCUCUUUUGUUCAUGCUGUGUUCCCAUCGAUGCAAACUAUCACUUCCUCGUGUUUAUUUUCUUUGAAAUGAAAGAAAAUUUUAUUUAUUUUCUUUUCCCUCUUAAAUUACUUUCUCUCGUCCUAAUUCCUCUUCCAAUUAAACACCUCAUUUACUGUGGGAUAGUGCUGGAGUUAUUUGCCUAUUUGAAGUUAGAAUUUUUAGGUUAGUUAAUAAUAUAUUUGAAGUAGUUGGCAUUCAAAUCUAAAAUUAGCAGCUGUAAGACGCCUUUAUUCUUUAGAGUUACAUCUUAGUGAUUUUUUUAUACAAUGAAAAUUAUAUCAGUUGCUAACCUUGAAAAUUUUCCUUAUAAUCUUUAAUACGUGUGCAAUAAUUUACAUUUUUCUCCGUCAUGCUGUUUUAGAGGAUUCUUUCUGAUGAUAUGUUCAGUUUUCUUUUUGUGCCCUUCACUUUGUAUUUGAAUCAGGCAUUCUCUACUUUGUACCACUUUAUUAAAUUUGUUUCCUGUGUUUCUUUUAAUCCAACAAUAUAAUGGCCGUGUGAGGGGUAUUGGAGAUCAUAUCACUCCAACAAUAUAUUUCAAUUCUGGUAGAAGAUGCAAGCAUGCUUAAGUAAUCACUGAGCAUAAAAGGGAGCUGAUGGAGUCGAGGAAGAAAAUUUUAGAGCAAGAUGCACGUAUACAAAACCUUGAAGUAAUGGUGUAUAAAAAGGGUACCAUGUGCGAUAAUUCGAUUGAUGACAAAGGCAGUUGCUCAGUAAAGUUGCAACCCAUGAUUGAAGAUGGCAUGAAGAACGAUGAUGAUGACCUACAAAUUUUGUGUCAAGCUGAUGUUUUGCAGGGAAAACCAGUUGCAUUGACAUUGGAAUCUAGCACAAAUAUUGUUGCACAUGGUACAAUUGUUUGUGGCAAUGAAUCUAAUAAAAUGCUUCAUGGUGUUCCAUUUCCAAAUAAUUGCAUGCGAGUCUCCAUUGAUGAAGCAGUAGAAAAAUCAGCACCUUUGCCAUAUCCAAUUCCAAGUGAAUUUGAAGUAAUUGGUGAUGCUGUAGGAACCCAUGUGGCUUGGCCAAAACACUUGAUAGUGAACCAAGAUGAGAAGCCUCGAAGGAAGAAGCUUGAACAACCAAAAAAGAAACUUACUUUGUCAACAAGUGCCCCAAGAGCAUUACAUAUGUUAUAUUGUUAUAGUAAGCGUGCUUUAGAUGAUGGCAGAUAUAUAUCAGUGAGUUUUGAUUAUGACGUGUUUGAUGAUGAUUAUGAACUUGUUCUACACCUUGAGGACAUCAUUCCUUUGUAUCAUUUGGAGCCCCUUUCAGGCAAUUGUGUAAUUGCCUACAUAUGGUAUCUUUAUAAAAAACUGCUGAAAGAUAACAAGAAAGAAAAAUUCAGAUUUGUGAAUCCACAUAAAAUCCCAUAUAUGGCAACCAGUGCACAUGACAAAAAAGGUACGUUUGAAAGGCUAAACCAAAGGGCAAGUCAUUUGGCAGGCAGGCUAAGUGGUGCAUCUGUAGAUCAACUUGUUUUGGUGCCAUGUAAUAUCGGUUUCCAUUGGAUUCUCACUGUUAUUGACCCUUACAAUGAAGUUAUUUAUUUGUUGGAUUCUCUAAGGCACCGCAUUCAUGAUGAGGAUUGGAAAUAUAUAGUGGAAAUAUAUUCUUCCAAGCGACACUGAAUCCUACAAAGAGGUUUAUGUAUGCAUUUUCUGAUAGAAGUUAAGUGGACAACAAGAGUUUUGUGGGACACAUUUUAUUAAAGAAGGCAGUGGGAAAAAAAUGAUGGAUUGAUAAUGAUGAACAUGAUCUUGCUUAACUAGAUUAAUUACCAACGACAGAGUGAAUGUAACUGGCCAAGAAGGUAGCCUUCAACCCUCCUGCUAAUGUAUAAACAAUCACUCCAAGAGGGAUGAGAAAGCUCGCAGCAUAGAUAUUCAUGCCAGUGAGUGCGCUGACGACCGCAGAACCACCGAGCAGUCGUAUUCCAGUGGAGUCCUGGAGGGAUAUAUGGAAAAAAGAUAGUUUCUAAGUUCUGUAUGCAGUUGAUGUGUUAAAUGAGAAAUGCUCAAACUACAUGGUAGAGAUGGCAUGGAUAGAAAAUGUGGAUAAAGGACAGUCGAGAUCAGUACACUAAGGAGCGUCUGGAUUCAGUAAUUGAUCAGUACACUAAGCGUAUGGAUUCAGUAACUACUGUACUAUUUUGAGUAAACAGAUUGUUGGCUACUUCAGUAUUCAGUAUUCAGUAAACAGAUUGUUGGCUAAACAGAUUGUAGUUGUUCAAAAUAGAUUUUUUGUGCUCUUUUGUUUUAUAUGUGAAUAUCACUAUAUACUUUGAAACUGAAUUAGUGUAAAUUUUGAUAUUUACUAGCUUUUCAUGUAA